RNAcentral lists this long non-coding RNA (379 nucleotides) under Hordeum vulgare. Its description in RNAcentral is "long non-coding RNA (HVUL_LNC019164)". The record is from RNAcentral. Lineage: Eukaryota; Viridiplantae; Streptophyta; Magnoliopsida; Poales; Poaceae.
GCUUCAGGGUGCCGUCAUCGGAUUCCCCCCUCUGUGCCUCGCCGUCGUGCAGAGCCGCCGCCGGAACCGUUGCCCGCGCCGUGAGCGCUCGCUCGUGCGAGCAGGGCGACGGGGGAGCCUCGCCCGUGCAUGGGCCUCCCGCACCGUCACCAGCAGCACUAGCGGCCCAGUCCACCUCCAUCCCGAGCGCUCCUGCCUAGCAGCCUCACCCCGCGCAAGGCCGAGUCUUCGCAGCCGGCCCGUUUGGCCUCUGGUGAGCGAUGAUCCCCUAUCCGGCGCCCUAUGCGAAUAUUGAUUAUAUCAUGCUCGUGCUCUAUUAGCCCAGCGGUCAGUUUCGGCGCAUAUUUUUUUUUUCAAUUCCACGAAUUUGUGUGUGAAU